Molecule: long non-coding RNA, 14189 nt
Organism: Melospiza melodia melodia
Lineage: Eukaryota; Metazoa; Chordata; Aves; Passeriformes; Passerellidae
Exons: 3
Source: RefSeq, a predicted model, not a curated record
UGAGCUGGGGGUUUGCACAAUCCCGCCGGGACACGCACAUUAUCCAUGGCUGCAGCUCCCCGGGGGGACCCUCCCUCAGCCCUGAGCGGGGUCUGUCCCCCCAGGGCGCUGCACUCCCUCCCCGGCCUGCUGGGACAUGGGGAUAUCUCUCUGUCCGAGAUCUCUGCUGCUCAGGCAGGCUGAGGAGCAGCCCUUGCCUUUUUCCCCGGGCCUCCUGGGCCCACGGAGGGGAGGGAUGAGAGCUUCACCCAGCCUGGCCGCUGGGUGUGUUGCUCCCAGCAAAUCCCAAGGGCCCACAGAGCCUCCGAGGGGUUGAUCCAGCAGCUUGGAGAAGUUUGGGACAAACACUACACUCAGGGCAUUCCUUGGCAUCACCUCAGUUCCAGGAUCAGUGUGGCAGCAGGUUUAGCCUUGCUGCAUUGCUGAUUCUGAAGGGCCAGAGCUCCAUGGCACUGCCUGUGUCUCUGCACAUGGCCCUGGGUGAUGAGUUCCAGACACAGGAUAAGGAGGAGGAGCCACAGCCAAGUCUUGGUUUCUCAGACAGGUUCCUGAUGAUGGGAAUGAAGCACAAGCUCCACUGCUCUGCAGGGUGAAGCCCAGGGAUGGCUGUGCUGUACAGACCCCAGAGGUUUAGGUCAUGAAGAGGCCAGCCUGACCCUCCCACAUGUGAGUUCAUUGUGUUGUUGGAGUCUGUGGUGCUUUCUUCCCCUCCCUAGAACCAUUCCAGGGUAAGUGGUUGUUUGACGUUCUGGCAUCACAAAAUAGAUUUGCCACCCCUCAGCAGGUGACCCUGCUUUCAGCCCAGCUUUAUCUGUCCUGCCCUCUUGCAGCCCUUUAGUGCUGUGUGUUCCCAGUGGAGACACAAAGUUUAGUGUAGAACAGGAAUUUGGGGUAGGAGCAGCUCUUGCACCUGCCCAGUGGGAUGGUGAAGGGAAACAGAGGAGCUUGGUUUCCACAAAUGGUGAUAAAACACUGGUGAUAAAACUCUGUGUGAUCAGAUUUAUAGCAGCCACAUAGGAGGACAGUUGGAUGUGGAGGAUUUCUCACUGCUAAUGGCAGUGGCUUUUAUUUUAAGCCUGUUCACUUUUUUUUUACAUUAAAAAUUUUAUUACAAAAAAAUGUAACAGUAAGGCAGUUGUCAGUCACUGUGAGCCCAGACAGUUUUCAAUCAUGUUUAAUACAAAACUAGAUUCACACAGGAGCCACACUGGGGAUCCAAAAGCCCUCUGAGAAAUGAUGGGAUAAGGCAGAAGCAGCAGCACCAGUGUAAUCCCUUACACAGUCAGCAUUGGAGGCAUGGACACCACUGCAGUGGAGGGAGAGGAAAUAGAGAUUGUCUGCAGUUUAAAAAUCUAAGCCAACCCUGUUGUCACAAUCUGGAACAUUCCUGAUAUGUCCCAGCAGACUGGAGAUUUAAUUUUGAGAGGUUAUUUUUUUUUCUUUAACUAAGUAAAAUUUUCUAUUGUCAAAAGUAGAAAAUUCUUUCCUGAAGAAUUAUCUGUGAGUGAUUCACUGCUUUAAAAGUUGUGCAGCAGAACAUUUGUACUCCCCAAGCAGUGCCUGAGACUGAUGCUGUUUAACACUGGAGUACUCACUGGUACUGAGGUGAGGGAGGGAACUGCUGAGCAAAAUUCUCCAAUUCUGGUUUUUUUUCAUGCUUUGGUGACUGUUGAACAGAAAUGGGACAGCAAGAGCAAACCAGGUGUUUUCCACACCAGUUCCUGAUGGCAAUACAGGGAUUUUGUUUUGUGCUCCUUUACUAGGUAGAACUGGCCUCUCUACAAGCAUUUCUGGAUGCCCCAAAGGCAGAAUUCCCAACUGCUCCCCUUGUUCAUUGUCCCCCUUCACCUGCAGGGAUGUGGUGGGAGGUACCUGCAGCCAUGGUUAUCUUUUUGGAGCUUAACAAACUAAGAGAUGGGAAAGAGAAAAGAGAGAACCAUGGGUAGGAAGAGAGACAGAUAAAACGGUGAGAAAACUCAGGUAGGCACAAAUCUUAUGGGUUUGGGGUCUUUUAAAUUAUUACAAUUUGGUGCUCAAAGAUUAGCUCUGCUAAAGCAGUUCUGGGGUGAAUUUAUUUAGAUCAGCUCCUGCUCUUGGUGAAUGAGCAGUGCAGAUGUGAGGUGGGACUGUGCAGACUUUGUGUUCUCACUUUAUGGAUGGACCUUGUUUUCCAGCUGCCAAAAGCCAGGCAAAGUUCAGGAAGGUACAGGGCUAAGGAGGGGCAGAUCUGUGGGUCCCACUGCUACCAGGCUCAGUAGAAAUUUAACAAAUAUUUUCCAGCAAAGACCUUUUAAAGUGUCUUCUGAAAGUAUGCAGUUCCUCCAACUAUAGUACCUUAAACUGCAUUCCCAGUAAUCCAGAGGUAUUUCUAGCACAUUUAACAAUAGGUUUUGUAUGUUUUGGCUCAACUGUCAAGAUUUUAUUGAGGCAGAAAAUCCAAUUAACCAAAAUUGGAAUUUUUCCCUUGGUAAAGACUUCAGGCUUGACCCCUAAAUCAGUAAAAUCAUCAUCAUCCAGAAAAUUGGACUGUUUAGGUAAAGGCAGGUGCAGCUUCCUUUGAUUUCUGUCCUCAUGCUAGUGAGAUAUUUGGAUAUUUUGCUAAAAAUCCUCCUGUGGAAGGGAAAGGGUUCAGGAAAGUGAGCCUGCAGCUAAAAAAGGUUCAGGACUAUAAAUAGGCUGAGGGUUUCUCCUGAAACCUUGAGAGCUGGGAGGAAGACAAGGGCAGGGAGCAUUCUGUGAGGACUCUGUGUUACCUCAGCACCUGAAGUCUCAGAACCAAUUUGAAAUUCCAGUGUCCUAAGGCACGACAAUUUUGAUUAAUGAAGGUGGGAACAUCCCCAUCCCCACUGCCCAAGGAGCAGAGGGAAGAGCUGGCUGCCAGGACAGAACAAAAGCAGCAUUUGUUCUUGUGGACAAACAUUGCAGAAGAGGAGGGGAGAUGGGCUGUGGGUGUUCCCAGGCUGCUCUGACACUGGGGAAGCACCCUGACUCUGCCUGUGGAACUGCUGGCUCAUGUGGUCAAGAUUCAGAGCCAAAUUCUCCACACAGGCUGAGAAGGAAGACAAGUUUAAAAAGUGGGGCUUUUGUGGAAGUGGAAAACCAGACUAGAACAUGCUAAUAAGCCUGUUUUCCAGCAAAGUAAGCCUGCAGUGGUCAGGCACUCUAGGAAAGCAAAGAGUCAAAUGUGUGGGAAUUGAAGAAUAGCAAAGGGUUUCAUUCAGCAUUCCUUAGAAGGGAGCCCUCCCAGGCAAUGAUCCUGCCCUAAGCCUGACAGGUGUGAGGAGGACUCCAGACAACCCCUGGCUGCCCACACUGCUCAGAGGGAUGAUGGUGACAGGAACACCACACACAACACCACUGUAAGUUGUGGCCCUCAUCUGUAUUUAUCUGUAUUUUGUCCAUUUUUUUUGUUUCAGUAACACUUGUCAGCCUCGCUAUUUUCUGUUGAUAAACCUUGGGGGGGAUUUGGAGGGAACCAAAAGCACAUUUGUCCUGUCCGCAGCUGAGCUGGGCGGGGUGAACCUGUAGUGGAGUGUUUGUUAGUCAGUUGUAAACUGGCAGGAAUGUGCAGCUGCACCCCUGAGUGCUGGGAGCCCAGGCUGCCUCAUUCCAGCUCCGAUAACGUGCACGGCCGGCGGAACUCCUGUCCCCGCUCGUGGAGCCACUUAUUGGAGACUGCAAAGACACAAAGGCACUGCAUCACUGCACUGCUCAGCUCCUCCUCUGCUAAAUGUGCUCUAGGCCAGCUUCUGGUUAAGCACAGGGUUAUCUUAAUUUUCUAGAGGGUUUUAAUCACAGAACAGCUUGGGUUGGAAGGGGCCUUAAAAGACUCUCUCAUUCCAACCCCACUGCCAUGCACAGAUCUGUGAAGUUAGUCUAAUAAAAUUAACCAACCAACCAAAAACCCUUCCAGUAUAGCUGCAAAGCUACAAAAACUCUUAAAGUAGACAUAGCUAUGAAAACUCAAAGUAGACAUAGCUACAAAAACUCUUAAAAUAGAUACAGUAUUAAUUUCCUUUAUACAUGUAAUGAAAUAUGCUGCUAUAUAGUAUAUAUUUAACAUAUAGAGAGAUAUGAGGUAGAUAAAGUAAAUUAAAUACAAAUAUUUCUUUACAAAGAAUGUAAUUUCUGAAAUCUAAAGGAAAAAUAAAGCCAAGCCACCCCCCAGCAGAGCCCAGACUCAGGUCAGAGGCAGGUACUCACCCCAUUUAUUCCCCACUAGCACCGGGCAGGCUGCGUGCCGCGUGCUGUAAUCGCCUUCUCCACUCGGGAAGAGAUUGUACCAGAACACAGCUGUACCCUGGGAAUGGCAGGGACACUCAGCCCUGUGCUCUGUAUCACACAAUCACACACCAGAGAUUGUACCAGAACACAGCUGUACCCUGGAAAUGGCAGGAACACCCAGCCCUGUGCUCUGUACCACACACACAGUCACACACAGAGAUUGUACCAGAACACAGCUAGCACAGCUGUACCCUGGGAAUGGCAGGGACACUCAGCCCUGUGCUCUGUACCACACACACAGUCACACACAGAGAUUGUACCAGAACACAGCUGUACCCUGGGAAUGGCAGGGACACUCAGCCCUGUGCUCUGUACCACACGCACUAAGGCAAAGGUAAGUGCAUUGUGUUUCAGAGCCUCCUUUUAAACUGAAGGCUCUUUUCCAUAUUCUUAUUCUUAAGAAAAAGUCUCCUUUGACUUACUGUAUAUUUGUAUACUUGGCUUUUCGUUUUUUUCUUUUAAAUCCUAAACCAGUUUCAUUCCUGACCAGUUUAAGAAAGCCAAGAUUAUUUACUAAAGCCGAGCAGCAGGCCAGCAAAGGCAAACCUUGGUUGAAGGAAAAAACUGACAGGAGAAUUUCCUACAGAUGCCUCAAGACUAAGUCAACUCACAGGUUUGAGUAUUUUCAAGAUGUGUUUUGGAGUAUUUAAGUGUUUUGCAUUUGUAUCCACACAUGGAAUAUCAGGGACCUUUGAAUCACCAGCACAGCUCCAGUUGCUGCACUUAUGGAAAAUCACAGCACUGUUCUGACAGCACAGAGGUGCUAACAGUUAUUUUAAAGGUUCAUUUUCAAGCUCUGCUCUGUGUGGGUAGUGGGGAGGAGUGGAUUUAUCUGCUGGAUGAAUCCUGCUCACCUUUCUCGGCCAAACGCUGGCUCCCACUUCAGGGAAGACCGUGGCUCCCCCUGCUGACACAUCACUCAUCUGAACAGGUGGGGAAGGACAGGUGAGUUCAGGUUGAUAAAAUCUCACUUUUUAGUGAAAGUUUAAUUUUGACAUAAAUCUCUUAAGAAGGCCAAACUCCCUCUGUUCCCAGUGCAGUCCCAGCCUCGUCCCUCCCACUCGAGUGUUAAGGCAAUGAACAUGCUGUAAACACUGACGCAGGUACAAAAACAAGGCAAAUAACUUAAGCUAAUGCUCAAAUUUGGGGGGAAAAUCCUCCUUAAGACACAUGGAAGAACCACAAAGUCUGGGUAAGAAGACCCUGCCAUAUGUACUACCCCAAAGUUAGAGGCUGCUUCACCUGCAAGUCCCUUCAGUAAAACAGAAUGAAAGAAAAGCAGAAUGAAAUCAUUCCAUGGUACAGAUUAUACAGUGACAGAUGGCAGAAAUGUAUCACUUACAUAAAACAACCAAGUAGCAAUUCUGUUGCCUGUUCCCAAUUCUUUAAAGGCAUCUGGCUCAUCUUUCUGUGAACAAAAGCAGGCAGAUUCCAUCAGCAUUUCUUUUUGGUUGCUGAGAGCAGCCAAUGACACACAGCUGCUGAGCCAGCAGCACAGAACAGACUCAUGCAGAAGAAUUAAUCCAACCCCUCGAUUUGGAAGGAGGGGAGGAAUGCAACAGGAGUGAAUCUAUCAAUUUAAAUAAACCAGGCACUUUGAAUUUCUAUAGGAUAGGGAGGGAGGGCAUUAAGCCCAGAUUUCUAAUGGGUAACAACAACUGUGCUGUCUGAGGCUGAGGCUAUAAAUCCUCCUCACAGCAAACUGAAUUAUUUAAUUACACUCAUCCCCCUUGUCCUUGGCAGCAGCCAGGGCAGCUCUCAGUCCCAGGGUCAGCUGGGACACCUCCCUGCCACACUCCACUCUGGAUUCCAGCUGGGAAGCAGGGAGGAAGCCUCAGUGACAAACUAGGCAACUAAGGAGUGUCCAGCACUCCACUUACAAGAAUGAACCACAUUUUGAUGAGUUUUGAUACCAACUUCUGUCAUACCUCUGUUUCUAAACCCACCCCCUGUGACCACACUUCGUGAGCACUGAAAUUCCAGCAAUUGUUACUCCUGGAAACAGCCCCAGUGUUUCCAAACAAAACAUGUUAAUCACUUGCAAUGCCUUGGAGCAGGUGCUUACAGAGCAGAGAUCCUGAUUCAGAAUUGGUGGCUGGAACUGGCAGGGUUAAGGUUAAUCUGAAGGGGUUAAACCACACAGAAUUAUGUCCAGUAAAUAACCAACUGAAUUUCAGCAGUCUGCAAUUUAAGCUGGAAUAAAACAGGUGGGGAAUUCAAAUCCAAUUUAAAAAUUAAGGACAGUGAGUCCUUAAUUCCCAGUUCCAGUUGUCAGGAGACUGCUGGCACUCAGCUUACAGGUAGCAACCUCCAGCUGGUUUAGAGGGCUUUCUCCACAGACAUGGAUUAGCAAAGUGGAAGAGCUACAAAAUUUAAUAGACAUGGAAGAACAGAGAGUGUGCCCCAGCCCAGAGGCCCAGGCUUCACCAGGUCUAGCUCUCCUCCAGCUCUUUACUUGCCCGUGCAAAGUCAAAGUGGGGCUCAUAUUGUCCUCCCACUCCAUAAUUUGCCACCUGAAAAAGAGAAACACAGCACUUGUGAAGAAGAAAGAGUGAAGACAAAGCAGGACUUACCCUUCCAAAAUCAAAAUGAGGCUCAUACUGGCCUCCUACGCCGUAGUUGGCUACCUACAGUGGGAGGAGAAGCACAGGAUCUAGUAAAUCAGUCUUUAGGCAGGCAAGAGUUUGGCUGUCAGCUACAGCCUUUGCAGAGAUGAAGUUUAAACACCAAGCCCCAGGAAAUGUCAAGCCUCUGUCAGCAGGAGGAGCACAUCCAAGAGUGGCACUGCAGGAUGCUCCAGGUAAGAAUCUGGUGCUUCCCAGGGCAGAAAAGCAUUUUUCUUCUACAGAAAACUUUUCAGCCUCUCUCCAAAAUGGUGUCACAGUGCUUUUACAUCAUCACGUUGAAACCACUUUUUGACCUGAAUUUGGCUGUGUCAAUAAAGAGGGUUCUCUGUCCUUCUUACCAAUUGGUUACAAAAAAUAACAAAUUUUCCCCCAGAUCCUUGGCCAUUUUAUCACCAGGAACCUUGACAGAGUGGCAAGGAGCACAGCAGGUUCCAGAAGUACUUUGUGGGUGUCCUGCUUUCUAGGUACUCGUGCUCUGCUCACAGUCAGGGAGGCAGCUGCUCAUUUAAAGGCCUCAAGCAAAUAAACAGAAGCACUUCUAAAUUGCACUUUACUCAAGUUACACAUCCAGCCAGUGUUUCCCACAUCCCAGGGACACCAGACACUGGUGGCCUCCCCUGAGUUAAACUUUUAAGUGCCUCCAACAGCAGCAAAGUUUGACCCUGUGACCAUGAAACUCAGUUUAUUGGACUAAAUAAAAGGAAGUAGUUCCUAAAAAGGAACUACACAUCCAGAGUUUCAGUUAUCAGUUUAUCACUGUUCUUAUAUAUCAGUUACUCAGUUAUCACUGUUUCCUUCCAGCCCAAAAAGCCAUUCCACACUGAACAGCUGCUCUGCAAAGACAGCGUUUUCUCCCCUUCUGUAAAUAAAUGAGUUUUUGUGGCCACCUCACGUGAGCAAGCACAAGAAAUGGUGCUGGCACCCAGCCCCAAGCCCAAGCUACCCCUUACCUGCAGCUCCUCUGCAGUGGAGACAUCCAGCCCUGUGAGGUCCUGGAUCCUGGUGUUGAUGCGGGACACCACCGGGCUCUCGUAGCCCGAGAGCCACGCGCUGCGGGGGGACAGUUAGUGACAGCACCAACACUUGCAGGCACUUGGAAUGGGAAAUUGCUUUUUAGGACUUCUCAAGGAUUUGGUGGCAUGACCACAAGUAUUUCCAGGGUGUUAAAACCCUCUGAAUUUAAUGAAUGCAUUUCUUAGAAAGACCAAUUCCAGCAGGGGUUUAAGGGAGCUCUGUAACCAAGGGCCUGAAUUCCCCCACUGGGCUGAAGGAAGUGUCACAAACAGUGCUUCAAGCUGAUUUUUAAACCAGGCACACACAGUUUUGCUCUUUCCCCGCUCCCAACAGCUCAUUCAGCCCCUGGGGUGAUGCAUUUUGAAGCAAGGUUUGGGACAGGAGCAGGUGAGCUACUGUUUCUGUCUGUGCAGCUGGAACUCAGCUCCCCCACAUCCCACACCUCCAGGCCAGCUCUCUGGGAGCUGCCCUUUCUCAUCAGUUCCCCCUGCAGAGCUACUAAAGACCAUUUGGAAAACAACCAAAUAAUGCAUUAAAUGGAACAAUUGCUGUCAGAACAGCCCAUUAUAACUCUGGUAUUUAGCACAUGCUUCAGGUACACAAUGAUUUUUAAAGAGGGGGAACCCAAACUAACCUGCCAUUUAUUUUAUUUUUUAUGUGGAAGGUCAGCCUCAGUUCCAAAGGCAUCUUUCAGAAUGUUUGCCUCCUACUGUGUAUUAGACUUUUUCCACAGCUGCUCAUCUGACUCAUCCCAUGCCAGUCACUGCACCUUCAUUUUACCUGGCAGCCCCCUGCACUAAUAUGGGUGAUAAUAUUGGUGAUUUGGGGCUUGUUUUCCCCCCCUUUUUUUUAGCAGGAAAACGGAGAUAGGUAUUUCUACCUUUUUUUCUAGCAGUUGACUCAGCUUUUGGGCUCAGCAGUGCUUCCUGCUGGACAGAAAUCCCUGUGCCCAGAGCCCAGAAGGAAACUAUCAGCAGCAUCCAUGUAUUUUUACUCAAAUCAACCUUCACAUCUAUACUAAAUUAAGUUUUUAUAUUGACUUGCAUUAAAAAAAACAUAAAUCCCCAAAUACUUUGCCUGGGAGGAACAGUAGCAUGACACAUGACACAAGGCACUGACACAGGUUACAGAAUCUCUACGAGCAUUUUUCUGAAUGACAAAUGAACUAUGAAAUAAAAGAAAUCUGAUUUCUUAGGACAGACAUGCACAAACACAUCCCUAGGCCCACUUGUUAGUACCAGGAGGUGUUACAGCACAACCUGCUUUGAUUUCAGGUGGCAGAAGAAUGCUAAGACAUGGAUAUGAAGCAUUCACCAAACAAAAAUCCCCAGAAGCAGCCAUGCCACACAGCCAUGGUGACGAGGUUAUGCUCACAAGCAGCCCUAACCAAGAAGAGCACAAGAAGAGCCCCAACACACCCAGCAGCUUCAGUGUAGGCCUUUUCUGCCUCUGUCCAGUCUGUUAAUAAACGAAAAAACCCAAGAAACCCAAAGAAAGGAAAACCCAAGCAUUCUUGCUCUGUUGGUUAUUAGAUGGCAAUGAAUACUGCAGCCUUUCAGGAAGGGGAGUACUGUAUGUAUUUUAGAAAUCAAAUUAACAGCCUCCACAUACAAAGAAAGCCUAUGAAAGGUGGAGAAACAGGGAAUUGAAACCAUAUUCCAAGUGCCAGCCUGUCUGCUGGGUGCUGAGCAAAACCACAGGGAGGCCUGGAGUGCUGCAGAGGAACAGGGGAUUUAACCCUGGAGGUGCCAUGCCAGCUGCAGCCUGGCCUCAGAAUAUUCCAGCUGUCUCACACACCCUCCUCUGCUGCUGUCCCAGCUUGAUCCCUUGCUGACAAACGUCUCUGCCUCAUUCAAAACAAUUUCUUCACACAAAGUUGGCUUUUUUUCCCUGCCCUUGUCUAUCAAAGAAAAGAGGAAGACUCCCCUGGCCAGUGGUGUAGGAGGUGCAGCAUUAACAGCCUUAAACAUGCUCAGCAGUUUGCUUUCUUUUAAUAUUUACAUACUUCCAGAUUCACUGCAUGCUGUCCUAUUUCUGACCAGCUGUCACCUCUGAGUCUGCGAUGGGCCUUAACAAAAAAGGGACAAUUCCUGGGAAGCCACAGGCAGGGCAGGUCAAGAUAUCACUGAUUUAGUUACAGACGGGUUUGGUAUUUCCUUAAUAACCACCACACAACCCCCCAGUUCCCUGACCACACAAGUCUGGUGUUUUGCUGACCCACUUGGCUUUGUAAAAAGCCAUCCCUGAACUGUUAUAAAAAAUUUAAUGCUUCCAUUAGUGUGCUGAAUUCACACUGGGGAGGCUUUUAACAACUUUGAUAUGCAUCACAGACAGUCAGGAAUAAUCAUAUUGACUCAUGGAAUCAAGACAUGGCUUGGUUGGGAGGGACCUUAAAACUCAUCCCACUACACCCCUGCCAUGGGCAGGGACACCUUCCACUGUCCCAGGCUGCUCCAAGCCCAUCCAGCCUGGCCUUGGGCACUGCCAGGGAUGGGGACAGCCACAAAAUGUCCCAUGGUCCUCCCUCUUCUAAUUCUGCAUGAGGCACCUCAGAGAUUUUGAAUGGCAGAUGCUUCCACACAUAAUUUAAGGUCUAAGGAGUACAUUAAGGAAAAACCAGAGAAUCUCUGGAGCUACUGAACACACAAGAGUACAUCCCCUCCAGAUCUUAUCUCCUCAGCUGCACUGGUCAGUCUAGGAGAAGACAUUACAUCCCAACACUACUUCUGUAGGUCACUGGCCACAAAAUACUGGGAUUUGUGUUUAAAAGCCUUCUAAGCCACACUUGGUGUGCAGAAAAAUACCAGCAGAGACACAACAGGGAGUGAGUAAAAGCCAGGCUGGUAUUUCUGAAAUGGAAACUUUUAGCAUAACAUGCUGCAAGCUCUGGCUGCCUGCUGGGAGGAGAGGGAAGGGGAAAAAGGAGUUUUUAUCUGUAAAAGCAGUGUGUGAGUGGGUGGGUUUAUCCUGGUGCUGCACACCCUGGCAAGGUGCCUCCCUACACAGAGCUGCCACGUCCCACCAAGGGAACAGUAGCUCUCUCAGAGGCAGGAAUGCUGUAAAUUUAGGAGGGCAUGUGCUGGAAAGGAAUGUUUGGAGGGGGAAAGCAGUCAUCUAUUAAAAAAAUGAAGUGAGCAUUUUUUGGUUUUCAGGAGCAAUGAUUCAUCUGGAAUCUGAACCAGCUCGAGCAGCUCCAAGGGAAAGAUGUUUCUGGCAGUGCAGGAGGGCAGCAGGAACAGCACAGGGCCUCUCAAUCAGGCUGCUGGGGGUGGCUUCUGCCUCCCACUGCAGAGUUAGGUGUCAGGUUCUCUUGGGAAGUCCAUACCCAUCCUGCAAAUCUGCACAGGAGGAAAGCAAAGGCAGGGCAAGCAGAAGCUGCACACCAAGGCUAUUCCUACCCUCAAAAAAUGCCCUUGCCCAACUUCUUGGAUGUGUCCCUACAAUUUUAAUUCCAGUUUCCAGUGACAUACUGAAUUUAAAAAUUUAGCUCAGUAAAAUGUGAUUGAAUUUCUGAGAGUUCUUAGGUUCAUUGGAAGGAAGUCCCACAUUUUUGAGCACCAAACCUCAUUAAGAAUUUAAGGGUCCCAUUCCCCAGGCUCUAUCCUGUUUUGUUUUUUUUUUUAAUUGGCCUUUAAUACUGGGUGGUGCCUUGUACUAUUUUUUCUGACUGUGGCAUCUGCACUACCUCAGGGAAUAACACUUCCUACUAAUGAAAAAUCACAACUUGAAAUAAAAAGUUCUUUCACUAAGCCUCAUCUAUUUAAGUAGGGACCAAUUAUACAUCCCAAUUUCCUCAGUAAACUGGUCAACUUCUCCAAUUCCCAUCAUUAGCACAGCAAGUUUGACAUGAGGCGAUGUUCAAAAGGAUGAAGGAGUUUCCUCAGUAAAUACUCCAGAGCUGUCUGCACAGAGGACAAACGCCACAAGUGAAUAAAUUCCAAAUAUGCAGUGACAAAUAACCAAGACAGGUAAGACAUGGACAGACCUGAACAUUAAAAACAAGAAAUAAAAACUAAAUGCAACACAUGUCCAACAGGAAGAUGGAUGCUCCUAAAGCCCUUCCAUGGGGUCAGUUUUAAGGAGCAAACAUGUAAGAGUUUCCCAGACAAUUUCCAGAGGAUUUCCACUACCUGCAUGUGCCAAUGAGCACACAGACCCACGUGCUGCAAAGGUGUGAGGCAUUAAAAAAAAUUUUUUUCAACUUGUCACUAGAAUGGCCUUAAGGACCUUGGUUUUCCAAUUCUCUUGAGACUUAUCAUUCCUGAAUCAGUCACCUUCCUGUGAGCCCACAUUUGGAAGCACUUUUACCUUUCUGAAGCAAUUCACAGCUAAAUUAAAGCCCUUCAGCUCCAGGCCAUUCCAAGUUCAGGGGUUUGUCAAAACAGCUGAAAGAACACUUAAUUUCUAUUCUACCUUCCACCAUUCAACCAUGGAAAUCCCUUAAAAUCAUCCCUAGCUUUAGUGGGCAGUCCUCCCAGGAAUGACAGCAGCUCCCAGCUCUGAGCAAGGGUGGGCACUGAGGAGCAGGGGUGAGCCAGGCAGGUGCCCCAUUGCACUGGGUGCCAGCAGAGCCCCAUGCCCAUGUUUAGUAGGUUAGUGACAGCACACAAGCCAUGCUCAGCCAGAGAGGGCACUUCCACCUUGGAAUGCCACCACUGACAACCAGUCCCUACUUCAGCAGUCCCCGUGCUUUCUUAGGUGACAGCUCAGCUUGCUUGGGCCCCUCUCUUUGAAAGAAAGGCUGAAGAAUAAGGAGAGUUACACAGAAUGCUUGUGCUGAAGCAGCACAGCCCCAGGACACACUUCCUCAAACAAGGAAUCCCUUCCCCUUACCUCUUAGAGACUCUGUAAUGUGCUGUGGUCAGUUUCCCAGUCUCAGGGUCAUGAACAGUAGCACGGCUCAGCUACAAAAAGAGAAAGGACAAGGCUUACCCACCUUGCAGGCUGCUUUUGGCCAAGCCCCAGGUGUUUGAAAGGUUCCGGUUGGUCCGGAUGCGAUGCUCGCAUAUUAGCAAUGGUUGGAAGGGCAACACAAGCUGCAGCUGCCAUGUCCAAAUCACAACAAAUUGGUUGCAAUAAUUUGGUUAGAUUGUCCUUUCACUUUUUUCCUCCCUUUAUUAUUUUUCCUCCUUUUUUUUUGUUUGUUUAAAAUCAAGACUUUCUACAAGUAAUUUAUGAUGCUGAGUUUCCCAGACAAUUCCUCCUCGCCCAGAAGCUUUAACUCCUCCCAGAAUUUUGGCUCAGUGCUGAUGGCCUGUGCAGCCAAUCUUUAAUUACCAUGGCUAAAACCAACGGAGGGCAAGCAGGGGCAGGUGGUUUCUUUCAGAUCCAGCCAAUUUUGGAAAGCACUGGCUAAAUUCAGCUCUUGUAGUACUUAAUGGACAAGCUGAAAAGAACCAGGAGCCCGGUGGAAGCGAGCCUGCGUUCUGCCAGGUUUGUGUCAGGCAGGAGGUAAAGGAGCUCAGCUGGGAGUGUGGGAUUAUCCUGGACAAGGAGAUGUGUGUCUGUGUGCACAGCAAGGACCUGAAGCAUUUCUUACACCCAUUAAGGCAUUUUGAGAUCUGCUUCAUUUUCCAAAGAAAGGGAAGACAAUUCCUGGUUGUGAGAAGGAGCAAGGGGGAAGGAAUGUAUAGAUUAAAAACAAACCCCAGAUUUUACUGAAGGUUUUGUGACAUCUUGUAUUUUUCACACUGACUACAGAGACUUGCUUGAAAAAACAGACUUCAGAAGGCGACCAAAAGGGAAAGAACAAAUCAAAACACGCCCCCAGAACUUCCAGCUGAAGGAAAAGACUGAGAAACUCAACAGCACCAGCCUGUUACAGAUCUGCAGGGAAUCACAAGGUGGACUGCAAGCUGUCUCUCCAGCCCAUCUGGUUUCCUGACAACGAGCAGGAUGUACACACUGAUGGCAGGCCCAAACCUGUGGCAGAGCUCUCUUACCUUUUGCUAAUUCUGUAAUGUGCCGUCUCCAAGGCUCCCGUUAUGGGGUUUGAAAUGGUGGCUCGCCUCAGCUGUGAAGCGAACCAUCAGAAUUGCAUUACAAGCACAAUCUGCAGCCCAGCACUCCGACCACUCAGAAGCCUGGCCUGGGGACAAUGCCACCACCCUGGCACCUGCCCUGUCCUGCAGGGCCACAGGGAACCAGGGCAGGCUCCAGCUUUACCAAAAAAAGAUUUCUUGUUUGGGUUUUUUAAGGUUUUCCACAAGUCCUGUUUCCAUGUUUGUAGUGAGAAUGGUUGUCUGAAUAAAGCAAACUACAGCA